RNAcentral lists this ribosomal RNA (429 nucleotides) under Bacteroidota bacterium. RNAcentral's name for it is "Bacteroidetes bacterium partial 16S ribosomal RNA". It matches the Rfam family "Bacterial small subunit ribosomal RNA", at positions 355 to 776 of the family's 1533-position model. Lineage: Bacteria; Pseudomonadati; Bacteroidota. The record is from RNAcentral.
UAGGGAAUCUUCGGCAAUGGGGGGAACCCUGACCGAGCAACGCCGCGUGAGUGAAGAAGGUUUUCGGAUCGUAAAGCUCUGUUGUUAAGGAAGAACGAGUGUGAGAAUGGAAAGUUCAUACUGUGACGGUACUUAACCAGAAAGGGACGGCUAACUACGUGCCAGCAGCCGCGGUAAUACGUAGGUCCCGAGCGUUGUCCGGAUUUAUUGGGCGUAAAGCGAGCGCAGGCGGUUAGAUAAGUCUGAAGUUAAAGGCAGUGGCUCAACCAUUGUAGGCUUUGGAAACUGUUUAACUUGAGUGCAGAAGGGGAGAGUGGAAUUCCAUGUGUAGCGGUGAAAUGCGUAGAUAUAUGGAGGAACACCGGUGGCGAAAGCGGCUCUCUGGUCUGUAACUGACGCUGAGGCUCGAAAGCGUGGGGAGCGAACAUG